MicroRNA precursor from Oryza sativa Indica Group (long-grained rice), 204 nucleotides. It matches the Rfam family "MIR812 microRNA precursor family". Lineage: Eukaryota; Viridiplantae; Streptophyta; Magnoliopsida; Poales; Poaceae. The record is from Rfam.
UAUAAGUGUAUCCAUAAGUUUUCUUGCCCAGCUUUGAUCGUCCGUUUUAUUUGAAAUUUUUUUAUAAUUAGUAGUUUUAUUAUUAUAAGAUGAUAAAACAUGAAUAGUACUUUAUAUGUGACUUAUGUUUUUAUUUUUUUUAAAAAAAAAUUAAAUAAGACGGACGGUUAAAAUUGUGCACGGAAAAUCAUGGCUGCACUUGGA